Molecule: ribosomal RNA, 155 nt
Filed under: Fragaria x ananassa (strawberry)
Lineage: Eukaryota; Viridiplantae; Streptophyta; Magnoliopsida; Rosales; Rosaceae
Description: 5.8S ribosomal RNA
Rfam family: 5.8S ribosomal RNA
About the family: 5.8S ribosomal RNA (5.8S rRNA) is a component of the large subunit of the eukaryotic ribosome.
Source: Rfam by way of RNAcentral
GACUCUCGGCAACGGAUAUCUCGGCUCUCGCAUCGAUGAAGAACGUAGCGAAAUGCGAUACUUGGUGUGAAUUGCAGAAUCCCGUGAACCAUCGAGUCUUUGAACGCAAGUUGCGCCCGAAGCCGUUACGCGAGGGCACGUCUGCCUGGGCGUCA